Molecule: small nuclear RNA, 102 nt
Organism: Cynocephalus volans (Philippine flying lemur)
Lineage: Eukaryota; Metazoa; Chordata; Mammalia; Dermoptera; Cynocephalidae
Source: RefSeq, a predicted model, not a curated record
GUGCUCGCUUCGGCAGCACAUAUACUAAAAUUGGAACGAUACAGAGAAGAUUAGCAUGGCCCCUGCGCAAGGAUGAAAACCUGUCAGUAUUUGCCUGUUUUU